Molecule: ribosomal RNA, 1592 nt
Filed under: metagenome
Description: bacterial LSU rRNA
Rfam family: Bacterial large subunit ribosomal RNA
Source: RNAcentral
CCUGCCCAAGGUUUCCUACGCAACGUUCAUCGGCGUAGGGUGAGUCGGCCCCUAAGGCGAGGCAGAAAUGCGUAGUCGAUGGGAAAACAGGUCAAUAUUCCUGUACCGAUUCUAGAUGCGAUGUGGGGACGGAGAAGGUUAGGUCAGCCGGGUGUUGGACGUCCCGGUUUAAGCGUGUAGGCGUGCCCCUUAGGCAAAUCCGGGGGGCUUAGCUGAGGCGUGAUGACGAGGAACCACGGUUCCGAAGUGAUUGAUACCAAGCUUCCAGGAAAAGCCACUAAGCUUCAGUCUAGAGUUGACCGUACCGCAAACCGACACAGGUGGGCAGGAUGAAAAUUCUAAGGCGCUUGAGAGAACCCAGGAGAAGGAACUCGGCAAAUUAACACCGUAACUUCGGGAGAAGGUGUGCCCCGGUAGCGUGUAGCGACUUGCUCGCGAAGCGUGAUGGGGUUGCAGUGAAAUGGUGGCUGCGACUGUUUAAUAAAAACACAGCACUCUGCAAACACGAAAGUGGACGUAUAGGGUGUGACGCCUGCCCGGUGCCGGAAGGUUAAGUGAUGGGGUGCAAGCUCUUGAUCGAAGCCCCGGUAAACGGCGGCCGUACAAUAACGGUCCUAAGGUAGCGAAAUUCCUUGUCGGGUAAGUUCCGACCUGCACGAAUGGCGUAACGAUGGCCACACUGUCUCCUCCUGGGACUCAGCGAAGUUGAAAUGUUUGUGAAGAUGCAAUCUCCCCGCGGCAAGACGGAAAGACCCCAUGAACCUUUACUGUAGCUUUGCAUUGGACUUUGAACCGGUCUGUGUAGGAUAGGUGGGAGACUGUGAAGCCGGGACGCUAGUUUCGGUGGAGUCAACCUUGAAAUACCACCCUGAUUUGUUUGAGGUUCUAACCUUGGUCCGUGAAUCCGGAUCGGGGACCGUGCAUGGUAGGCAGUUUGACUGGGGCGGUCUCCUCCCAAAAGGUAACGGAGGAGUACGAAGGUACGCUUAGGGCGGUCGGACAUCGCCCACAAAGUGCAAUGGCAAAAGCGUGCUUGACUGCGAGACCCACAAGUCGAGCAGGUACGAAAGUAGGUCAUAGUGAUCCGGUGGUUCUGUAUGGAAGGGCCAUCGCUCAACGGAUAAAAGGUACUCUGGGGAUAACAGGCUAAUUCCUCCCAAGAGUUCAUAUCGACGGGGGAGUUUGGCACCUCGAUGUCGGCUCAUCACAUCCUGGGGCUGUAGUCGGUCCCAAGGGUAUGGCUGUUCGCCAUUUAAAGUGGUACGCGAGCUGGGUUUAAAACGUCGUGAGACAGUUUGGUCCCUAUCUGCCGUGGGCGCUGGAAAUUUGGAGGGGGCUGCUCCUAGUACGAGAGGACCGGAGUGGACGAACCUCUGGUGUACCGGUUAUGACGCCAGUCGUAUUGCCGGGUAGCUAAGUUCGGAAGAGAUAAACGCUGAAAGCAUCUAAGCGUGAAACUCGCCUUAAGAUGAGAUUUCCCGGAGUCUUGAACUCCCUGAAGGGUCGUCGAAGACCACGACGUUGAUAGGUCAGGUGUGGAAGCGCAGUAAUGCGUUAAGCUAACUGAUACUAAUUGCCCGUGCGGCUUGAUC